RNAcentral lists this ribosomal RNA (253 nucleotides) under uncultured bacterium. RNAcentral's name for it is "partial 16S ribosomal RNA". It matches the Rfam family "Bacterial small subunit ribosomal RNA", at positions 524 to 776 of the family's 1533-position model. The record is from RNAcentral.
UACGAAGGGGGCGAGCGUUGUUCGGAUUUACUGGGCGUAAAGCGUGCGCAGGCGGUGAUGUAAGACAGAUGGGAAAUCCCCGGGCUCAACCUGGGAACUGCAUUUGUGACUGCAUCGCUGGAGUGCGGCAGAGGGGGAUGGAAUUCCGCGUGUAGCAGUGAAAUGCGUAGAUAUGCGGAGGAACACCGAUGGCGAAGGCAAUCCCCUGGGCCUGCACUGACGCUCAUGCACGAAAGCGUGGGGAGCAAACAGG